AACCAGCACCUCAAGUGGUCAGGAGGAUUAUUGGGCCUAAAGCAUCCGUAGCCUGUUCUAUAAGUUUGCGGUUAAAUCUAUACGCUCAACGUAUAGGCUGCCGUAAAUACUGUAGAACUAGGGAGUGGGAGAGGUAGACGGUACUCGGUAGGAAGGGGUAAAAUCCUUUGAUCUAUCGAUGACCACCUGUGGCGAAGGCGGCCUCCUGGAUCUGUACUGACACUGAGGUGCGAAAGCGUGGGUAGCGAACAGG
RNAcentral lists this ribosomal RNA (253 nucleotides) under uncultured archaeon. Its description in RNAcentral is "partial 16S ribosomal RNA". It matches the Rfam family "Archaeal small subunit ribosomal RNA", at positions 474 to 727 of the family's 1478-position model. The record is from RNAcentral.